RNAcentral lists this ribosomal RNA (405 nucleotides) under uncultured bacterium. RNAcentral describes it as "partial 16S ribosomal RNA". It matches the Rfam family "Bacterial small subunit ribosomal RNA", at positions 30 to 526 of the family's 1533-position model. The record is from RNAcentral.
AUUGAACGCUGGCGGCAGGCUUAACACAUGCAAGUCGAACGAGUGGCGGACGGGUGAGUAAUAUGUGGGAAUGUACCUUAUGGAGGGGUAUAACUACGGGAAAGUGUAUCUAAUACCGCAUACUAUGGUAGGCGCCCAUGUGGUAUUAGGGAGUUGGUGGGGUAAAGGCUCACCAAGCCGACGAUCUCUAGCUGGUCUGAGAGGAUGACCAGCCACACUGGGACUGAGACACGGCCCAGACUCCUACGGGAGGCAGCAGUGGGGAAUAUUGCGCAAUGGGGGCAACCUGACGCAGCCAUGCCGCGUGUAUGAAGAAGGCCUUAGGGUUGUAAAGUUCUUUCGGUAGACAGGCGUUAACGACAGAAGAAGCACCGGCUAACUCCGUGCCAGCAGCCGCGGUAAUAC